AACGCUAGCUACAGGCUUAACACAUGCAAGUCGAGGGGCAGCAUGGAACUUAGCUUGCUAAGUUUCGAUGGCGACCGGCGCACGGGUGAGUAACACGUAUCCAACCUACCGUUUACUACGGGAUAGCCUUCUGAAAAGGAGAUUAAUACCGUAUGGUAUUCUAAAGUUUCAUGACAUUAGAAUUAAAGGUUUACCGGUAAUCGAUGGGGAUGCGUUCCAUUAGAUAGUAGGCGGGGUAACGGCCCACCUAGUCAACGAUGGAUAGGGGUUCUGAGAGGAAGGUCCCCCACAUUGGAACUGAGACACGGUCCAAACUCCUACGGGAGGCAGCAGUGAGGAAUAUUGGUCAAUGGGCGCGAGCCUGAACCAGCCAAGUAGCGUGAAGGAUGACUGCCAAAUGGGUUGUAAACUUCUUUUAUAAAGGAAUAAAGUAGUCCACGUGUGGAUUUUUGUAUGUACUUUAUGAAUAAGGAUCGGCUAACUCCGUGCCAGCAGCCGCGGUAAUACGGAGGAUCCAAGCGUUAUCCGGAUUUAUUGGGUUUAAAGGGAGCGUAGAUGGAUUUUUAAGUCUGUUGUGAAAGUUCGGGGCUCAACCCCGUAAUUGCAGUUGAUACUGGAUAUCUUGGGUACCGUUUGAGGCAGGCGGAAUUC
RNAcentral lists this ribosomal RNA (651 nucleotides) under uncultured Bacteroidales bacterium. RNAcentral describes it as "bacterial SSU rRNA". It matches the Rfam family "Bacterial small subunit ribosomal RNA", at positions 32 to 669 of the family's 1533-position model. The record is from RNAcentral. Lineage: Bacteria; Pseudomonadati; Bacteroidota; Bacteroidia; Bacteroidales.